CGCCGCGUGAGGGAUGAGGCCUCUGGGCUGUAAACCUCUUUUCUCAAGGAAGAAGAUCUGACGGUACUUGAGGAAUAAGCCACGGCUAAUUCCGUGCCAUGAGCCGCGGUAAUACGGGAGUGGAAAGCGUUAUCCGGAAUUAUUGGGCGUAAAGCGUCCGCAGGCGGCCUUGUAAGUCUGUCGUUAAAGCGUGGAGCUUAACUCCAUUUCAGCGGUGGAAACUACAAGGCUUGAGUGUGGUAGGGGCAGAGGGAAUUCCCGGUGUAGCGGUGAAAUGCGUAGAUAUCGGGAAGAACACCAGUGGCGAAGGCGCUCUGCUGGGCCAUCACUGACGCUCAUGGACGAAAGCCACGGGAGCGACAAGG
Molecule: ribosomal RNA, 365 nt
Filed under: uncultured cyanobacterium
Lineage: Bacteria; Bacillati; Cyanobacteriota
Description: bacterial SSU rRNA
Rfam family: Bacterial small subunit ribosomal RNA
Source: RNAcentral